GGCGAUCAGAUACCGCCCUAGUUCUGACCGUAAACGAUGCCAACUAGCGAUCCGCCAGUCGACUCAUCGCUCUGGUGGGGAGCUUCCCGGAAACGAAAGUCUUCCGGUUCCGGGGGAAGUAUGGUUGCAAAGCUGAAACUUAAAGGAAUUGACGGAAGGGCACCACCAGGAGUGGAGCCUGCGGCUUAAUUUGACUCAACACGGGGAAACUCACCCGGCCCGGACACCGUAAGGAUUGACAGAUUGAUAGCUUUUUCAUGAUUCGGUGGAUGGUGGUGCAUGGCCGUUCUUAGUUCGUGGAGCGAUUUGUCUGGUUUAUUCCGAUAACGAGCGAGACUCUGGCCUACUAAAUAGUUGGUACAUUGCCACUGUGUGCACAACUUCUUAGAGGGAUUUUCGGUGUUCAGCCGCACGAAAUUGAGCAAUAACAGGUCUGUGAUGCCCUUAGAUGUCCGGGGCUGCACGCGCGCUACACUGGCAAAAUCAGCGUGCUUGUCCUCCCCCGAAAGGGGUUGGUAAACCGAUGAAAAUUUGCCGUGAUUGGGAUCGGACAUUGCAAUUAUUGUCCGUGAACGAGGAAUCCCUUGUAAGGGCGAGUCAUCAACUCGUCCUGAAUACGUCCCUGCCCUUGUA
RNAcentral lists this ribosomal RNA (633 nucleotides) under Rotylenchulus reniformis. RNAcentral describes it as "SSU rRNA". It matches the Rfam family "Eukaryotic small subunit ribosomal RNA", at positions 1003 to 1664 of the family's 1831-position model. Lineage: Eukaryota; Metazoa; Nematoda; Chromadorea; Rhabditida; Hoplolaimidae. The record is from RNAcentral.